UUCCCCUAGUAACUGCGAGUGAAGCGGGAAAAGCUCAAAUUUAAAAUCUGGCAGUCUUUGGCUGUCCGAGUUGUAGUCUGGAGAAGUGUUUUCCGCGCUGGACCGUGUACAAGUCCCUUGGAAUAGGGCGUCAUAGAGGGUGAGAAUCCCGUCUUUGACACGGACUACCAGUGCUUUGUGAUGCGCUCUCAAAGAGUCGAGUUGUUUGGGAAUGCAGCUCAAAAUGGGUGGUAAAUUCCAUCUAAAGCUAAAUAUUGGCGAGAGACCGAUAGCGAACAAGUACCGUGAGGGAAAGAUGAAAAGCACUUUGGAAAGAGAGUUAAACAGUACGUGAAAUUGCUGAAAGGGAAACGAUUGAAGUCAGUCGCGUCGUGCAGAACUCAGCCUGGCUUUUGCUUGGUGUAUUUUCUGCAUGACGGGCCAGCAUCAGUUUUGGCCGCUGGAAAAGGGUUUCAGGAAUGUGGCACCUUCGGGUGUGUUAUAGCCUGGGGUCGUAUACAGCGGCUGGGACUGAGGAUCGCAGUGCGCCUUUAUGGCUGGGGUUCGCCCACAUUCGCACUUAGGAUGCUGGCGUAAUGGCUUUAAACGACCCGUCUUGAAACACG
RNAcentral lists this ribosomal RNA (605 nucleotides) under Somion delectans. RNAcentral's name for it is "partial 28S ribosomal RNA". It matches the Rfam family "Eukaryotic large subunit ribosomal RNA", at positions 75 to 663 of the family's 3401-position model. The record is from RNAcentral. Lineage: Eukaryota; Fungi; Basidiomycota; Agaricomycetes; Polyporales; Cerrenaceae.